GAUCAUGGCUCAGGAUGAACGCUAGCGGCAGGCUUAACACAUGCAAGUCGAGGGGCAGCGGGUGUAGCAAUACAUGCCGGCGACCGGCGAAAGGGUGAGUAACGCGUGAGCAACGUGCCCGUAUGUGGGGGAUAGUCGAUGGAAACGUCGCGUAAUACCCCGUAACACAUUUGGCCGCAUGGCCUUAUGUUGAAAGAUUGAUUGCAUACGGAUCGGCUCGCGUGCCAUUAGGUAGACGGCGGGGUAACGGCCCACCGUGCCGACGAUGGCUAGGGGUUCUGAGAGGAAGGUCCCCCACAUUGGAACUGAGACACGGUCCAGACUCCUACGGGAGGCAGCAGUGAGGAAUAUUGGACAAUGGCCGGAAGGCUGAUCCAGCCAUGCCGCGUGCGGGAAAGACGGCCCUAUGGGUUGUAAACCGCUUUUGCGAGGGAGCAAUAAGUGCUACGAGUAGUGCGAUGAGAGUACCUCGCGAAUAAGCAUCGGCUAACUCCGUGCCAGCCGCCGC
Molecule: ribosomal RNA, 508 nt
Filed under: uncultured bacterium
Lineage: Bacteria
Description: bacterial SSU rRNA
Rfam family: Bacterial small subunit ribosomal RNA
Source: RNAcentral